RNAcentral lists this ribosomal RNA (492 nucleotides) under uncultured bacterium. Its description in RNAcentral is "partial 16S ribosomal RNA". It matches the Rfam family "Bacterial small subunit ribosomal RNA", at positions 29 to 507 of the family's 1533-position model. The record is from RNAcentral.
AGUGAACGCUGGCGGUAGGCCUAACACAUGCAAGUCGAACGGCAGCACAGUAAGAGCUUGCUCUUACGGGUGGCGAGUGGCGGACGGGUGAGGAAUACAUCGGAAUCUACUUUUUCGUGGGGGAUAACGUAGGGAAACUUACGCUAAUACCGCAUAUGACCUACGGGUGAAAGCAGGGGAUCUUCGGACCUUGCGCGAUUGAAUGAGCCGAUGUCGGAUUAGCUAGUUGGCGGGGUAACGGCCCACCAAGGCGACGAUACGUAGCGGGUCUGAGAGGAUGAUCCGCCACACUGGAACUGAGACACGGUCCAGACUCCUACGGGAGGCAGCAGGGGGGAAUACUUGGCAAUGGGCGGAAGCCUGACGCAGCCACGCCGCGUGGGUGAAGAAGGGCUUCGGGUUUUAAAACCCUUUUGUUGGGAAAGAAAAGCAGCAGGUUAAUACCCCGCUGUUCUGACGGUACCCAAAGAAUAAGCACCGGCUAACUUCGUG